This 567-nucleotide ribosomal RNA is filed under the name Fusarium sp. M6. Its description in RNAcentral is "eukaryotic LSU rRNA". It matches the Rfam family "Eukaryotic large subunit ribosomal RNA", at positions 1 to 578 of the family's 3401-position model. Lineage: Eukaryota; Fungi; Ascomycota; Sordariomycetes; Hypocreales; Nectriaceae. The record is from RNAcentral.
UUGACCUCGGAUCAGGUAGGAAUACCCGCUGAACUUAAGCAUAUCAAUAAGCGGAGGAAAAGAAACCAACAGGGAUUGCCCUAGUAACGGCGAGUGAAGCGGCAACAGCUCAAAUUUGAAAUCUGGCUCUCGGGCCCGAGUUGUAAUUUGUAGAGGAUACUUUUGAUGCGGUGCCUUCCGAGUUCCCUGGAACGGGACGCCAUAGAGGGUGAGAGCCCCGUCUGGUUGGAUGCCAAAUCUCUGUAAAGUUCCUUCAACGAGUCGAGUAGUUUGGGAAUGCUGCUCUAAAUGGGAGGUAUAUGUCUUCUAAAGCUAAAUACCGGCCAGAGACCGAUAGCGCACAAGUAGAGUGAUCGAAAGAUGAAAAGCACUUUGAAAAGAGAGUUAAAAAGUACGUGAAAUUGUUGAAAGGGAAGCGUUUAUGACCAGACUUGGGCUUGGUUAAUCAUCUGGGGUUCUCCCCAGUGCACUUUUCCAGUCCAGGCCAGCAUCAGUUUUCCCCGGGGGAUAAAGGCGGCGGGAAUGUGGCUCUCUUCGGGGAGUGUUAUAGCCCACCGUGUAAUACCC